Molecule: long non-coding RNA, 938 nt
Organism: Sarcophilus harrisii (Tasmanian devil)
Lineage: Eukaryota; Metazoa; Chordata; Mammalia; Dasyuromorphia; Dasyuridae
Exons: 3
Source: RefSeq, a predicted model, not a curated record
UCAGGUCCUCUUGACUUUAGGGCGGGAGCUCUAUCCACUGCACCACGAAGAAAGCAGUUUCCAAGGACAUUGCUGAGAAAAGAAGAAAGGAAAUAUGUGCAACUGAUUUUAUUACAACCACUUUCAGGGAAAGAAGUUGAAUUGCCAAGCAUACAAGCCAAAAAUUGAUUUAGCAGCUGCACAGCCAGCUAAAUCCAUGUUUUCUACCCAAUCUAGAAGAGACUUGGUCUAAAAUCAGGAGGAAUGGAAGAGGACCCAAUCAGGAAUCCCAGCUCUGAAUCCUAGCCCUAAUAUUUACUAUCUGUGUGACCUUCAGGAAAUUACUCCUCACCGUCACCACCAGUUAAGUUUCCUCAUCAGAAAAAUGAGGGGAUUAGACUAAAUUAACCAUAAAAUAUUUUCUAGCUUUCAAUUGUGUCACCUUAUUUUCUAAAGAGUUUUGAAAUAAAGGUCUUUGGGAGAUGAGAGGGAGAAAUUACAUGAUAUUUGUAUUGCCUUCCUCCCAAUACAAUGAUUGUGCCUUCUCUGAUUCUGAGUCCUCCCGAGAAGUCUUACUCUAAUGCCAUGGCACAAAAAUAAUUAUGGGCUCCCAAAUGGCUAUAUUCGCAAUACCAAAGUUCCAAUAUUCUCAGCAAUUCAACAAAUUCAAUAGAUACAUAUUGAGCUCUUACUGUACUUUGUGCUGGGGAAUACAAAGAAAAAAAAAAUGAAAUAGCCCCUUAUACUGAAAAUAUAAGGAAGGGAAGAUUUUUCUCAGAAUCAAAUAAAGAUAUUCUGCAAGCUGACCACAAAAUACAACACAGUGAAAACUAAGCACAUUCUCACAAAGAACAUCUUCCAAAUUUGAGUAUUUUUCCAUAACUGGAAUUCUUUCCUUUCUCAUCUCUGCCUCUGGCUUCCUACAUAUCCCAGCUAAAAUCCCAUCUUCCACCAGAAAU